AACGAACGCUGGCGGCAGGCCUAACACAUGCAAGUCGAGCGAGAUCUUCGGGUCUAGCGGCGAACGGGUGAGUAACGCGUGGGAAUAUGCCUCUUGGUACGGAAUAGCCUCGGGAAACUGGGAGUAAUACCGUAUGUGCCCUUUGGGGGAAAGAUUUAUCGCCAAGGGAUUAGCCCGCGUUGGAUUAGGUAGUUGGUGGGGUAAUGGCCUACCAAGCCGACGAUCCAUAGCUGGUUUGAGAGGAUGAUCAGCCACACUGGGACUGAGACACGGCCCAGACUCCUACGGGAGGCAGCAGUGGGGAAUCUUAGACAAUGGGGGCAACCCUGAUCUAGCCAUGCCGCGUGAGUGAUGAAGGCCUUAGGGUUGUAAAGCUCUUUCAGCUGGGAAGAUAAUGACGGUACCAGCAGAAGAAGCCCCGGCUAACUCCGUGCCAGCAGCCGCGGUAAUACGGAGGGGGCUAGCGUUGUUCGGAAUUACUGGGCGUAAAGCGCACGUAGGCGGACCAGAAAGUUGGGGGUGAAAUCCCGGGGCUCAACCCCGGAACUGCCUUCAAAACUAUUGGUCUGGAGUUCGAGAGAGGUGAGUGGAAUUCCGAGUGUAGAGGUGAAAUUCGUAGAUAUUCGGAGGAACACCAGUGGCGAAGGCGGCUCACUGGCUCGAUACUGACGCUGAGGUGCGAAAGCGUGGGGAGCAAACAGG
RNAcentral lists this ribosomal RNA (702 nucleotides) under uncultured Paracoccus sp. RNAcentral describes it as "bacterial SSU rRNA". It matches the Rfam family "Bacterial small subunit ribosomal RNA", at positions 28 to 776 of the family's 1533-position model. The record is from RNAcentral. Lineage: Bacteria; Pseudomonadati; Pseudomonadota; Alphaproteobacteria; Rhodobacterales; Paracoccaceae.